CCAAUAUACAAGGAAGGAUUUUUGACAGCCACCGUUGUGACAUUCAUCUACGGGAAAGUACGCAUAGUCCAAGCAACCUUCAAUCCAUCGGAAACGUACCCAACACUCAGCUUGACGCUGAGGGCUAUAUGCAGCCUAGGAAAGGACAACUACGACAAGAAGGUAGCCUUCAAUGUUCUGAAAUGGAUUUUCUCUCCUCCGGAGCCGGCCAAGGAGCUCGCAAUGAGAGGAAAGAGCCGAUCUAGUUACGGGCAGGCGCGAAAUGUGUGAGGUCAUAUUUUCCUGGGCUUUGCUGGUACAAGGCUGGGGUGUAUACCCAGAGAUGGUUCGCGUAUUUGGCAGUUCUUUUGGAUAUCCAGGGUCUGAGUGUUACUACUACGGAUUUGUAUUUCGACGGAGCGUAUGUAUUACAGC
This 414-nucleotide small RNA is filed under the name Histoplasma ohiense. Its description in RNAcentral is "hypothetical lncRNA". The record is from RNAcentral. Lineage: Eukaryota; Fungi; Ascomycota; Eurotiomycetes; Onygenales; Ajellomycetaceae.